This 762-nucleotide ribosomal RNA is filed under the name uncultured Sordariomycetes. RNAcentral's name for it is "SSU rRNA". It matches the Rfam family "Eukaryotic small subunit ribosomal RNA", at positions 804 to 1590 of the family's 1831-position model. The record is from RNAcentral. Lineage: Eukaryota; Fungi; Ascomycota; Sordariomycetes.
UUAGCAUGGAAUAAUAAAAUAGGACGUGUGGUUCUAUUUUGUUGGUUUCUAGGACCGCCGUAAUGAUUAAUAGGGACAGUCGGGGGCAUCAGUAUUCAAUUGUCAGAGGUGAAAUUCUCGGAUUUAUUGAAGACUAACUACUGCGAAAGCAUUUGCCAAGGAUGUUUUCAUUAAUCAGGAACGAAAGUUAGGGGAUCGAAGACGAUCAGAUACCGUCGUAGUCUUAACCAUAAACUAUGCCGACUAGGGAUCGGACGGUGUUAUAUUUUGACCCGUUCGGCACCUUACGAGAAAUCAAAGUGCUUGGGCUCCAGGGGGAGUAUGGUCGCAAGGCUGAAACUUAAAGAAAUUGACGGAAGGGCACCACCAGGGGUGGAGCCUGCGGCUUAAUUUGACUCAACACGGGGAAACUCACCAGGUCCAGACACAAUGAGGAUUGACAGAUUGAGAGCUCUUUCUUGAUUUUGUGGGUGGUGGUGCAUGGCCGUUCUUAGUUGGUGGAGUGAUUUGUCUGCUUAAUUGCGAUAACGAACGAGACCUUAACCUGCUAAAUAGCCCGUAUUGCUUUGGCAGUACGCUGGCUUCUUAGAGGGACUAUCGACUCAAGCCGAUGGAAGUUUGAGGCAAUAACAGGUCUGUGAUGCCCUUAUAUGUUCUGGGCCGCACGCGCGCUACACUGACGGAGCCAGCGAGUACUUCCUUGGCCGAAAGGCCCGGGUAAUCUUGUUAAACUCCGUCGUGCUGGGGAUAGAGCAUUGCAAU